CCUACGGGCGGCUGCAGUGAGGAAUAUUGGUCAAUGGCCGCAGGGCUGAACCAGCCAAGUCGCGUGAGGGAUGACGGUCCUAUGGAUUGUAAACCUCUUUUGUCAGGGAGCAAAGGGCGCCACGUGUGGCGCUUUGCGAGUACCUGAAGAAAAAGCAUCGGCUAACUCCGUGCCAGCAGCCGCGGUAAUACGGAGGAUGCGAGCGUUAUCCGGAUUUAUUGGGUUUAAAGGGUGCGCAGGCGGAAUGUCAAGUCAGCGGUAAAAUUUCGGGGCUCAACCCCGUCGUGCCGUUGAAACUGGCGUUCUUGAGUGAGCGAGAAGUAUGCGGAAUGCGUGGUGUAGCGGUGAAAUGCAUAGAUAUCACGCAGAACUCCGAUUGCGAAGGCAGCAUACCGGCGCUCAACUGACGCUCAUGCACGAAAGCGUGGGUAUAGAACAGGAUUAGAUACCCCAGUAGUC
This 459-nucleotide ribosomal RNA is filed under the name uncultured bacterium. RNAcentral describes it as "partial 16S ribosomal RNA". It matches the Rfam family "Bacterial small subunit ribosomal RNA", at positions 338 to 795 of the family's 1533-position model. The record is from RNAcentral.